Molecule: ribosomal RNA, 478 nt
Filed under: uncultured bacterium
Lineage: Bacteria
Description: partial 16S ribosomal RNA
Rfam family: Bacterial small subunit ribosomal RNA
Source: RNAcentral
GAUGAACGCUGGCGGCGUGCUUAACACAUGCAAGUCGAACGGGAAAUAUUUCAUUGAGACUUCGGUGGAUUUGAUUUAUUUCUAGUGGCGGACGGGUGAGUAACGCGUGGGUAACCUGCCUUAUACAGGGGGAUAACAGUCAGAAAUGGCUGCUAAUACCGCAUAAGCGCACAGAGCUGCAUGGCUCAGUGUGAAAAACUCCGGUGGUAUAAGAUGGACCCGCGUUGGAUUAGCUAGUUGGUGGGGUAACGGCCCACCAAGGCGACGAUCCAUAGCCGGCCUGAGAAGGUGAACGGCCACAUUGGGACUGAGACACAGACCAGACUCCUACGGGAGGCAGCAGUGGAGAAUAAUACACAAUGGGGGAAACCCUGAUGCAGCGACGCCGCGUGAAGGAAGAAGUAUCUCGGUAUGUAAACUUCUAUCAGCAGGGAAGAUAGUGACGGUACCUGACUAAGAAGCCCCGGCUAACUACGUG